UUCUUUUGCGUCGUCGUUCAAGUCCUUCACUAAAUCUUCUAACUUCUCACGAAAUUCUCUCUCUGUAUGAACCGUGCAUAAUAAUUUCAAUUUUCCAAUCACACGAUUGCUCUUCUGCCGACGCGACAUGUUGGCAGCAAAGUGCCUCAUGCACCACCUAUGCACAAGCGGUGGAAAACCAUCAAUGUGGUCCUUUGCACAAUUUAGAAGCCCAUGAUGCCUAUCUGAUAUCAUACACACUAUCCGUGAAGGUCCAAGAACAUUUACCCGAACAAGUUUCAUAAACCAUGACCAACUCUCAUUAUUCUCACUCUCGACCAAGGCAAAAGCAAGAGGCACAAUCUGUU
Molecule: long non-coding RNA, 347 nt
Filed under: Setaria viridis
Lineage: Eukaryota; Viridiplantae; Streptophyta; Magnoliopsida; Poales; Poaceae
Description: long non-coding RNA (SVIR_LNC001017)
Source: RNAcentral